This 310-nucleotide ribosomal RNA is filed under the name uncultured eukaryote. RNAcentral describes it as "partial 18S ribosomal RNA". It matches the Rfam family "Eukaryotic small subunit ribosomal RNA", at positions 1470 to 1796 of the family's 1831-position model. The record is from RNAcentral.
CCCCUAGACGUUCUGGGCUGCACGCGCGCUACAAUAAUACGCACAGCGAGUAUCACCGAGCUCGAAGGGCAAGGUAAACAAUAGAAAAGGUACUGUAAUGGUUAUAGAUCCUUGUAAUUAUUGAUCUUCAACGAGGAAUUCCUAGUAAGUAUGUGUCAUCAUCACGCACUGAUUACGUCCCUGCCCUUUGUACACACCGCCCGUCGCUCCUACCGAUUGGGUGAGCCGAUGAAACUCUCGGAUGUAGGCUAUUCAUAGCCCGCAGAAGAGAUUUGAAUCGUAGCGCUUAGAGGAAGGAGAAGUCGUAACA